This 463-nucleotide ribosomal RNA is filed under the name uncultured bacterium. RNAcentral describes it as "partial 16S ribosomal RNA". It matches the Rfam family "Bacterial small subunit ribosomal RNA", at positions 28 to 507 of the family's 1533-position model. The record is from RNAcentral.
GAUGAACGCUGACAGAAUGCUUAACACAUGCAAGUCUUUGGCGAAGCUGUGCUUGCUCAGCCUAGCCAUGGCGGACGGGUGAGUAACGCGUAAGGAACUUGCCCUGCAGUCAGGGAUAACAGACGGAAACGACUGAUAAGACCUGGUAAAGUCAGGCGGACUCAUGUCCAGCCUGAUGAAAAGAGAUGCUGCAGGAGAGCCUUGCGUCCUAUUAGCUUGUUGGUGGGGUAACGGCCCACCAAGGCGAUGAUAGGUAGCCGGCCUGAGAGGGUGGACGGCCACAAGGGGACUGAGAUACGGCCCUUACUCCUACGGGAGGCGGCAGUGGGGAAUAUUGGACAAUGGGGGCAACCCUGAUCCAGCAAUUCUGUGUGCACGAUGAAGGUUUUCGGAUUGUAAAGUGCUUUCAGCAGGGAAGAAAAAAAUGACGGUACCUGCAGAAGAAGCGACGGCUAAAUACGUG